Poronia punctata is the source of this 103-nucleotide non-coding RNA. The record is from the annotation of a GenBank genome assembly. NCBI's taxonomy places the organism in Eukaryota, Fungi, Ascomycota, Sordariomycetes, Xylariales, Xylariaceae.
UCUUGAUUGGUCUAGUGGUCAGGAUACCUGCUUGUCAUGGACGAGCGUUCGCUCGUCGUUCGGCAGUGCGCAGGUGGCCGGGGUUCGAUUCCCCGAUCGAGAG